RNAcentral lists this ribosomal RNA (324 nucleotides) under uncultured eukaryote. RNAcentral's name for it is "partial 18S ribosomal RNA". It matches the Rfam family "Eukaryotic small subunit ribosomal RNA", at positions 1470 to 1796 of the family's 1831-position model. The record is from RNAcentral.
CCCUUAGAUGUCCUGGGCUGCACGCGCGCUACACUGAUGUGUCCAGUAAGCACCUAACCUCUUCCGAAAGGAACGGGUAACCUUUGCAAAGCACAUCGUGAUGGGGAUAGAUUAUUGCAAUUAUUAGUCUUGAACGAGGAAUUCCUAGUAAGCACAAGUCAUCAGCUUGUGUUGAUUACGUCCCUGCCCUUUGUACACACCGCCCGUCGCUCCUACCGAUUGAAUGUUCCGGUGAGCUCUUCGGACUGCGCGGUCUGCAGUUUCUGCGUUCCGUGCGGAAAGUUGCGCAAACCCUAACAUUUAGAGGAAGGAGAAGUCGUAACA